AUUGAACGCUGGCGGCAUGCCUUACACAUGCAAGUCGAACGGCAGCACGGGUGCUUGCACCUGGUGGCGAGUGGCGCACGGGUGAGUAAUACAUCGGAACAUGUCCUGUAGUGGGGGAUAGCCCGGCCAAAGCCGGAUUAAUACCGCAUACGAUCUACGGAUGAAAGCGGGGGACCUUCGGGCCUCGCGCUAUAGGGUUGGCCGAUAGCUGAUUAGCUAGUUGGUGGGGUAAAGGCCUACCAAGGCGACGAUCAGUAGCUGGUCUGAGAGGACGACCAGCCACACUGGGACUGAGACACGGCCCAGACUCCUACGGGAGGCAGCAGUGGGGAAUUUUGGACAAUGGGCGAAAGCCUGAUCCAGCAAUGCCGCGUGUGUGAAGAAGGCCUUCGGGUUGUAAAGCACUUUUGUCCGGAAAGAAAUCCUUGGCUCUAAUACAGUCGGGGGAUGACGGUACCGGAAGAAUAAGCACCGGCUAACUACGUG
Molecule: ribosomal RNA, 486 nt
Filed under: uncultured bacterium
Lineage: Bacteria
Description: partial 16S ribosomal RNA
Rfam family: Bacterial small subunit ribosomal RNA
Source: RNAcentral